This 97-nucleotide microRNA precursor is filed under the name Megaselia scalaris. Lineage: Eukaryota; Metazoa; Arthropoda; Insecta; Diptera; Phoridae. The record is from RNAcentral.
AAUGUUUGCACGUCUAAAGGAGCGUACAUCUAGUAUACUCGAAGAGUGUCGGUGGUCUGUNGUAUACUAGAUGUACGCUCCUUUAGACGUGCAAACA